UCCCUGAUGGUCCAGUGGUUAGGACUCGGUGCUUUCGCUGCCGGGGCUCCGGGUUCAAUCCCUGGUCGGGGAA
This is a non-coding RNA of Lipotes vexillifer (Yangtze River dolphin), 73 nucleotides long. The record is from the annotation of a RefSeq genome assembly. NCBI's taxonomy places the organism in Eukaryota, Metazoa, Chordata, Mammalia, Artiodactyla, Lipotidae.